RNAcentral lists this ribosomal RNA (235 nucleotides) under uncultured bacterium. RNAcentral's name for it is "partial 16S ribosomal RNA". It matches the Rfam family "Bacterial small subunit ribosomal RNA", at positions 99 to 334 of the family's 1533-position model. The record is from RNAcentral.
CGGACGGGUGAGUAACGCGUGGGUAACCUGCCUUGUACUGGGGGACAACAGUUAGAAAUGACUGCUAAUACCGCAUAAGCGCACAGUAUCGCAUGAUACAGUGUGAAAAACUCCGGUGGUACAAGAUGGACCCGCGUCUGAUUAGCUAGUUGGUGGGGUAACGGCCCACCAAAGCGACGAUCAGUAGCCGACCUGAGAGGGUGACCGGCCACAUUGGGACUGAGACACGGCCCAA